AACCCAUGGUGAGGGCACCUGCUCAACAGAUCAUUAUAACUCUCCCAUGCAUCGUAGAGUGUUUCUAAAUCCAUCUAUACAAAAGAGGAGAUAACAUUAUGUAAUU
Small nucleolar RNA from Gossypium arboreum, 106 nucleotides. It matches the Rfam family "Plant small nucleolar RNA R71". From Rfam's summary of the family: R71 is a member of the C/D box family of snoRNAs containing the C (UGAUGA) and D (CUGA) box motifs. Multiple nearly identical copies of this snoRNA have been identified in Arabidopsis, and it is thought to function as a 2'-O-ribose methylation guide for 18S ribosomal RNA. The record is from Rfam. NCBI's taxonomy places the organism in Eukaryota, Viridiplantae, Streptophyta, Magnoliopsida, Malvales, Malvaceae.